Molecule: long non-coding RNA, 1345 nt
Filed under: Delphinapterus leucas (beluga whale)
Lineage: Eukaryota; Metazoa; Chordata; Mammalia; Artiodactyla; Monodontidae
Description: lncRNA (ENSDLEG00000017134.1)
Source: RNAcentral
AUGGGGAGGGCGUGGCCUGUGAUGGACAGCCGGCGCUCCCGCCCUCGGCCCCCUCCCCCACUGAAGACCCCGCUCUGGCGCCCCCGCCCCCAGUCUAGAGCCUGCUGCCCGUUGGAGACCAAUGGGAGGCUCAUGCGCGUCUCAGAUCGAUUUUCCAAGUGCGGAGUUCACUCCCGCAGCUGCUGUGGCAUUUCGGACCCGCGGCGCCCUGGAGCCAGGCGCGGCGCUCCAGAGGGAGCUGCGCAGAGCGGACCCGAAGCCGGCCCUCGCCACGCCGCACCUUCCCAGCCGGCGGUGGUCGAGCCUUGGGAUCUGCAUCCCCCGCCCUGGUCUACGCGGCUCGCCCUCCCUCCUUUUCUCUCCGGCGCACGCCCGAGGCUGAAGACCUCUGCGCACCGGCCCGUGAGGUGACCUUGGGCUCUGGGCUGCAUCACAGAAGAAAUUAGUUCCUCCGGGAGAUGAAGCCUCAGCAGGAGAGACAGAUUACAGAUCGUGAAAAGGCAAGUCGGAGAGUGAGUUUCCUUGCCGGGGCUCUGUGUGCGCACACCUGCCUGGACGACCUUUCGCGCCCGUCCGCGGUCCUUACUGGGUUCCUUGGUGUGCGCGGGGGAGGCCCGGCGCGUGGUUUGUUAGAACACCCUUUAGGAAGGGCAUGCUAUUAACUGUUUUUCAGAGCAGUUUAAAACGCACCACUUUUCUGUUCGUCUGCUGUUGAGAAGUUUGAUGCUGGAGAGGUAAAGUGAGAGUUGAGUUGCUGUGUAAGAUCCCUGAUUGGUCAGUACGAUUAAAUUAGCUACCUUGAAAAGUUAUUCAAGAGUUGGUGCAUAGACCCCUUUAUGAUCUAUCCAGGUCCUGCAACGGUUGUUUGUUUUUUUUGUUUGUUUUUGAAGAACUAUUUUGAGUUCAUUUAAAUCAUGCAAGUAAUACAUUAGUGCGGCCUCUUAAAAUGCAAAUAGUACAGAAAUAUUUAGCACGAAAAGCAGAUCCAUUUUCCAGUCUUUUUCUGCUCAUGUACAUACGUCUUCAUUCAUUCAGCAAAUGCUCAUUGAAAACUUGAUAUUUUUCAGGCACAGUUUUGAAACGCACAGUGGUGUUAACAUGUUAUCUAUCGUGUUAAUGCUUAUCUAUAUCUCCAGAGAAAUCUUUAGGUUCUUUUGUGUGUGGUUUUAGAAUAUUUGCUUGUUUUACAUAAAUGAGAUCACGUAGUGUGUAUUCUCCAACCUCCAACCUUUUUUGUUGUUGUUGUUAUUUUUAUUUAUUUAAUUUAUUUUGGCUGCGCCGGGCCUUAGUUGCAGCACGCGGGAUCUUUUUUUAUUUAGUUGUGGCAUGCAGACUUCUUAGUUGU